CUUGAAGUGGUAACCUUUGUCUGGACUGCUCACAAUGCAGUCAGGGGCUCACGUGACUGAAUGGAGCUCUAUACAAAAAAAAAAACAGCACAUCCGAGAAAAGGGUCCUAGGCUAGCCUUCUUCCUGACAUGCAUCAUUGUGAACCCCAGGGACCGGCAGUCCAAAGCGGUCAUCACAUCAGUAAGAGCUAACCUCAGUUUUGUCAUUCAAAGGAAAUAACCAAACCAAACAUGUGCAACGUUACUGUCGUUUCUAAUGGAAACAGUUAUAUGGAAUCUGUUUUUGCUAACCACAACUCAGAUGUGAUGCCGCUAACACAGGAAGAGCUGAAACAGGUGCUACGUCAAAGCAGGCAGCAAAACAGGGACAGGUUUCUGCCACACAGUCCGAUCCUGAUCUAUCAAGAAGAAAUUCUGAAAUGUGAUCCAACGGGGUCUCUCCCAAGACUAGAGGGCUGCCAAUAGUUGGCUUUGGGAAACUCUGAAGCCUAAGCAUUCUACAGAGGAUAUGAGAAUCACUCCAACAAAAGGGCCCAUAGUCCCCAACUUUCAGAAUUUUAUUGUGAACCUCAUCAUUUAGGGGAAUUCUGAACAUGUCUGAAAUCACAAUGCUCAAGGCUAUUGACUGUGGCAAAAAAAGAAAGAAGAAACACCUAGAUUAGGGCAUGGUCUAACCGAAGGUUGGAAAAUAUUGGGAUAGCAAGAUGGCGUCGGGAAUGAAAAUUACUGACUAAACCACCUGUCAGGAUUUUCAUCAAUCAUUUGGUCUUAUCACCUUCCAUCGGUCAGAUGGAGGUCAGUAGGUGUGCAGGGCUCUGUCCUCCUCCUCGAGUGAGUCUAGAGGGUCUUCAGACCUUGAAAGCCCUGGAUGAACAUCUGGAGAGACCUUCCUGCAAUCAUCAGACUGAAUGGAGAGGCUUCCACUGCCUAAUUACUGACGACCUGCUCUUUUCUUCUUAUCUUUACUAAUACAUCUCUGAGAUGUCCACGGCCGUGAGUUUGGCAGAUUUACAAUGUUGCUGGUUUUUUAAAAUCUCUCUUUACUGAAAGCUUUUGCUUACUUUUCGCUAUUUUUACUUUGCUGGAGAUCUCAGUAUUCCAAUGCUAACAGCUUUCAGUUUUUGUCUUGAAGAAUUUUUUGAAAUGUCUGAUAUCCCAGCAAUUACUUAUUUCUUAUUUUAUUCUUGAACUUUAAAUUACUCACAGCAUUUGUUGGAGUCUAUUAAGGGGUUUUUCUUCUUCUCCCUAUCUCUUCGUGAACCUCCAUCUCCCCCACUUCAAACUUUCCGGCAGAUAAGUAUUUGCAGUGGAGAAGACGACAGGCUUGGAUAGAAGAAUGGCUUGUUUUUUCUCUUUUGAUUUGGUUUUUUUACCUUACCGUUUUCGCAGAGCCACAUAUCUAACCAGUUCAUGUCUGUCUUACAAAGCCCUACUUGGACAAACUCUGUUUACCUGCUUUCUGGGAGGAUUUGUCUUUUGACUGCUCUGAAAAGUUCCAUUUACAGCUCCUUCUGUUUGCAGGGCUGACAAAGUGUUUUAUCACCCUUUCGUCAUUAACUAUCUACCCAAGCUCUGACUGGAGAAACGAAAGUGUUGGGACAGAGUUAGCUGAGACUGUGACUUUACUUUGAAGAAUUCCAUACCUCCUACUUGGCUGAGCUGGAGUGAUGAAGAUUUAUAAUAGAACAAACCUGAAAGUUUUAAUUUUACUUGAAAGUUUACUUGCUUCAGCUGUUUACUUUGUGUGUAUUAACAGUAUUAUUUGGCUUUUAGCUGCGGUGAGGUCUAAGCGGAAGGAUUUCAAUUGGAGCGAUUUCUUUGCGCAGAAGCUUUUUCUUAGGUAUUUCAAGGUUACAGUCCUGGCACUGUUUUGUCUCUCCUGUAUGAGAAAAUGUCUCUGGACACAGUUUCUAAGAUUUCACGUUAAGCCUUUGCUGGGUGAGCAGGUAGAUUCUCAAAGCCUUAAAGAUUUUAAAUGUUGACUCCCACUUUUUUCUUUGAUGCAUUUCUCUUUCUCUUUGACUUUUCAAGAUUAAUUCAAGGUUUAUUUUAUCUAAAGGUUUUAACUUUGAGUAUAAGCAUAUAUUGUACCUCAUUAAUUGGCUUGCCAAUGUAUUCCCUGUGUUCAAUGCACUUUCUUCAAUGUAUUUCUGUAUUGCUUUUCCUCUUUUUUCCCCCUUUCCUUUUCCUACCAAACAAUAUUUAGGGAAUUCCAUACAGGGUCUAAUAUUGAAAUAACCUCAGCACUUAAAGUCUUAACCUAAGGAGUUAACAAGUAACAGCAUGAUUGAAACUGAAUUAUAUGUGAUUACUUUGGGUUUCAUUUGUAGCUGUAACCCAGAUAAUACCAAGCCUUAAUACUUGGCCCCUCAAGGCAUGCCCCUCAAGGCAUUCCCUGUCCUUUAUAUUUUAAACAAUAAUAUUUAGGGAGUUCUAAAUUAGGUCCAAUAUGGGUAACAAGCUAAUCAGGAAUUAAGUUGCAUUGUGGGAACCCGAUGGUCUAAUAGACCUGAGGAAUUGUCACAUAUAUCUUCUUGUUUUUUCUUUUUUAGGGACAUAAUGAGAAUGUAUUAAGAAAGGGGGAUUUAGGGAUGAAUUGAGAAUAUCCUUGCAAACUUACUGACUGACUGACUUGCAAACUUAAUUUUUAGAAACAAAUAUCGCAACAAUGCAAACAUAUCCAAAUAUAUGGAACAGGAUUGUUGGUUUUUCCUUACCACAGGUCAUUAUAGUUUUAAAGGGAUAAGAAUUACAGCUGAAGGGUACUCUGUUUCUUCUAUUAGUUUCAGUUUACUAUUCCCUCCUCUCUUCCCACAGGUUUUUAUUACUUGUUAUGAAUAACUGAAUAAUAAUAAUUAUACUUAAUAAUGACACUUUGAGAAGUUUAGCUGAAAGCAAACAAUUGGAAGCAAAUUGUGAAGGAUCAGAUACAUGUAUACAGGGGAUAAUGUAUUGCCAUUUUUUUUGCUCCCAGUUGUAGGUUACAAAGAUCAGUCAAGGCUGAAUUUUGUCCCCUUCAUUUAUCUCUCCAGUAUGUUUAUUUGGUUUUCAUUACAGAGGAGUGGGACUACUAAAGGUUUAGCUGAUCUUUGUUCAUUAUUUUACUAUGGUUUUUGUAUUCCAGUUUGCGAUUGAAUUUCAUGAACUGGUGGAUAUGUGGCUUUGUAUUUAUAACACACAUUACUUCUGGUAUGCCAGAAUUAGCAUUUUUAACUCCUAUUUUCUUCUCCAUUGGAUAAUCUUGGUUGAAACCAUUUUGCAUAUAUAGUUGCCCAAUAAUUAACUGAAUUUAGGGGGAAUGUUCUGUGAGAGUUCUAAAUUCUACUCCCUCUGAUGAUUAGGUUUUUAGUCGAGCCUACAGACAUUAACAAGCCUUCUCUGUAUAGCUGUUUGAAUCUCCCACAGAUUUUUUAGGAGGUAGCCGAAUGAUUUUUGGAGGAGAGAGCUAGUAUGAAGGGAUUGAAGCAACUUAAGGUUUGAUUUGAACACAGUGACAUAUAGAACUAACAUAUGUCUUGCCUGAGAGAUCUUUCCCCUUUAUUGUAUGGAUAUUACACUAUUAUAAAUGGUACUGAAGUGAACUUAAUAAUGUAUAUUAGGAUAUAUUUGAGACAUAUUUGAAGUACACCUGAAAUUACACAUUUGUUUUUGAGCUCUUAUGUAGGAUUAAUCUUUAUUUAGAUUCCUGUAUUUGUUAUCCAUAACAUUGAAAUUCAUUUGGAAGAGAACUGUUCAGCACCUUGCUGGUGAAGUCUGCUGCUGUGGUUCCUAUUGUAAACUGGUUAUUUGGUUGGAUAGAACAAGGCAUUUAAAAUUCUUUGAAUUCAUUUUCAGUUUGGCCAGAAUCAUGGAUGACCUGUGAUCAUUCUACAUCGUCUCAGCCCACCAGCUUAACAUAUAAGUUAAUAUAUUAUAUCUCUCAUUUAAUGUUGAUGGGAUGGAAAAGGUUAGAAGAUCCAUGAUUUGUUUAGGAAACUUUCUUUGUUGAGUAUUGGAGAAUAACAUACUACAAAACAUACUUUAUUAAAUAUAUACGUUACAAGACAUAGUUAUCCCACUUAUUGAAAGUUUUAAUAAAUUUUGUUUCUUAUGAUUACUCAUACGGGUCUUAAUUCAGAAGUAGGUUAAUUGCUUAAACACUACAACCCUACUAAUAAGAAUUCCUUAUAUAAAUUCAGGGUCAAGAGAUGACAGAAUAGUUCCCUGUCCCAUUCCUAGCAUGGUUAAGGAGAUUCCAAACAUCAGUUAUCUGAUCACAGCCACUGGCACGUUCUUUAUGUUGUGAGCAACUCGUUAUGCUCUUGAAAACUGGCAUGCCUGAGCUAGAAAAGAGAAAGAAAACUUGUGCCAAGUUCUGUACUCACCUCACUAUGCUUGUGUUCUCCAUAUUUGCCAUUGAGGUUGGCCAAGUGGCAGUUCUUGUACCACCAGCCACCAUGGUGAGUUAUUGCACAGUUGGUGAUAGCUAUGUCAUUGUCCCUGUCCCAGGUGGUAAAUUUCCGACCAUUAUGGUAAGUCAUGGCAUCCCCUGAAUUAGGCCAGAAAGGGAGCAUUAAGACCAUGGGGAAUCCCUGCUUUAGGAACACAUCUGAUAGCAAAACUAAGACCUGGGAAGACAUGCCUGUAGAGAGGUGUCAGGAAUACAAAGGAACAUCUUUCAAGAUCCAACAUAUAUUGCAGCCAAUUUAAAAGUAACAUGCUACAAAAUCAGAUGAUGCUGUACAGAUAGUGUUAACACCAGCUACCCUUUGAAAAAUGUAGUUAUUUAAACAGAUGUUAGAAACAUGGCCAGCUGUUCGCAUACUUUAUUCUUCACCAGUAAUCAGGUGCGAUUAUUUAGAACUAUGGGAAACAAUUCAAAAUAUCCUGAGGCUAUGUGCUCCUCCAACUGGAUUCCAUAAUGGCCCUUUUUAGUGUUCUUAAAGGAAUCGUUAGGAACAAUAACAAGCUGCUAGUAAUACUGUACAUCUGUCACUGUGUACUUCAGCCUGUAAUACAGCAGCCAGAGUGCAGAUGGCAAGUCUGGAAACCACCUAAUCCUCCUCUGGUAGAGGAAGGAUUUGUGAGACCUUGGGAAAUUGCGAAAUUUAUGGAAGUCACACCUUUGGUUAGAGUAUCAGAUGUUUUUCAGUUGAAAUGGUUUAUCACCUCUUGGGACAGACAAUACACAGAUAUUACUGGCUGGCUGCUUAACGUAAAAUAACAGGAUCAUAGUCCAAUUUUGUGUAAAGUUUAUGUUGUCUAUUUUGUCCUGUUACAUAUACUCUCAUUAUAAAGGUCCAGUCUUGUAGAUGUAACUCUUUGUACAUGUAUAUAUUUCUCUAAAUUACUAAAAAGGUAUGAGGAGGGGGAAGAAAUACAAAGAAAGGCCUAUUGUUUUCUAUGGAAAUAUGCUAAUAAAUUAUAUAAACUGUG
Long non-coding RNA from Hemicordylus capensis (graceful crag lizard), 5415 nucleotides. RefSeq lists it as uncharacterized. The record is from RefSeq and is a predicted model, not a curated record. NCBI's taxonomy places the organism in Eukaryota, Metazoa, Chordata, Lepidosauria, Squamata, Cordylidae. The transcript is spliced from 4 exons.